This 3118-nucleotide unclassified non-coding RNA is filed under the name Arabidopsis thaliana (thale cress). Lineage: Eukaryota; Viridiplantae; Streptophyta; Magnoliopsida; Brassicales; Brassicaceae. The record is from RNAcentral.
GCCAAAUCGAAUCCAACUGUUUUACCAGAACAAAAACACCGGUUGGCGUCCGACUCGUCGUCGUUGUUGUCUUGCUUAUGCAUCGUGAUUGAAAUUUCUUCAUCAUGUGAUUUAGUUCCUUCUGUGAAAGCUCAGGUACAUUAUCUUGUAAGGUACUUCUUAGCACCUUCCUUAUGCUCAAUUCACUACAACAUUUUGCUAUUUAAUGUCUUUUGGACAUUUUUUAGGAAGUGGUUUCCCACAGAGUAAUUCAUUUCCAAUGUAAAUGGAUGGAUCUUGAAACUUGAGAAGCUUAGGUAUGCUCCCCUCCAGUUUAUUGAACGAAAGAUUCAGCCUUUGCAGAGAAGAUAUUGCUGCGAAGCUCUGAGGUAUGGCUCCAGAAAACUUGUUUUUUGAUAGAUCAAGCGUCUCCAAGCGACUCAGUUCUGAUAUUUUCUCGGGAAUGCUUCCUGCCAUGGAGUUUCUUGAUAAAUUCAGGAUUCGGAGAUACAAGAGGCCUAAGAUUUCUCUUGGGAUCUCUCCGCUUAUGUUGUUCCCUGAAAGAUUUAUGCUAUUGGCUAUGGCUUCGUAUUCACGAGCUCUGGUCACAAUGAAGACUAGAUUCUGGAACACCUCAUUGUUUGUACCUCGAGCAAUGGCUGUGAGAUUGCUGAUGCAUUUUGGAAUAGGGCCCGAGAUUUUGUUUCCGGAGAGGUCCAGAAUGCGUAGAUUUGGAACGUUGCAGAGAUCAUCUGGGAUUUGACCAGUGAAGGAGUUACUUUGCAGACGAAGCAUGAAUAGAGAAGACAGCUUUCCUACCCAUGAAGGAAGCUUCCCGGUCAGCUUGUUUCCUCCGAGAUCUAUGUUCGUAAGGCCAGAACAAUUCCGAAGACUCUCUGGGAUUUUACCUUCCAACGAAUUUUGGUUCAGAAGCAAGACGCUGAGAGAAGGUAACAUACCAAGAGACUCUGGUAUUUCGCCUGAUAAGUUAUUCUCAGACACGUCAAUUCCCCAAAGCAUGAACUGACGGUGCCAACAUUUUGGAAAACUACCAGAGAAAUGGUUCUUCCUCAGUGACAGAAUUUGCAGUCCGGAGACUUCACAUAGAGACGAUGGGAUGUUGCCUGUGAAGCUGUUGCUAAAGAGGUAGAUCUUCUCCAUUCUUGGCAUCAAGACGUCAAUGUUUUGUGGAAGAGAACCCGAGAAGUUGUUCUCGUAAAGACGCAGCUCUGUUGCGUUUGUAGACCAGAGAGGAAAAGUGCCUUCAAAGUUGUUGGAGCUCAAAUCAAUGGUGUUUAACUUUGGGAACGCAAGCUUUUGAGGUAAUCUACCUUUGAUUCUGUUGUUUGCUAGAAUUAGGUAAGUAACUUUAGAAGAGAUUCCAGAGAACCAGCUAUCCGGUAUUGUAUCUUCAAUACCAGUGUUUCUGAGUGUGACAAAGUUGAGCUUGGUUUGUACUUGGAGCCACAUUGGAAACAGACCGAUCCGACAGUUCUCGAUUUGGAUCAACUCCAGUCUGAAAGGAGGAAUCCAAGUAGAUGGUAACUUGAAGACAAGAGAUCUGUAUGGUUCAGUUGUUAGACGGAUGCUUUUCAAGCUUCUGAGAUUCACGAAAUGUGACUUUUGCAGAACGCCUCCCCAUGUAUUCGCCAUCAAGUUCAGAUCCACAAGCUCUGCAAGCUGCCCCAAGCUUUCCGCAAUUGUCCCGUUCAUGGCAUUGUUAGAAAGAUCAAGUUUCUUCAGUGACGCCAUGUUUCCUAUCGAGGAAGGGACCGAACCCGUGAAGGAAUUCGAUGAAAGAUCCAGAGUCUGCAGAUUCCUCAACGAUCCAAGUGACUCGGGCAAUGUCCCAGCUAACUUGUUGGAACUGAGAUCGAGAAAGACCAAGCUGUUUCCUUUGUUUCUGGAGAAGGCGUCUAGAAACCCAUGGAUUUGACCGUUGAGUUCGUUUGCAGAAAGGUCAAGAAACUUCAGUUGAGGAAGGUCUCCAAGAACCGAUGGAAUCUCGCCUUGUAGUGCCAGAUUAUUCGACAGAUCAAGUGUCUCUAGAAGCUUCAAGUUCUUGAACCCCGUAGGAAUCGAACCCUGGAGAAAAUCCCAUCUGAGGAAUAGCUUUCUGAGGUUGGUAAGACCAAAUAGCCAGUUAGGUAUCGGCGAAUUGAGAGAGUUUUCAGACAAAUCAAGAACUUCAAGGAGCUUCAGAUCCGCAGACGAAGACAAGGUGGGAGGUAAGUUCUUGAGCUCACUAUUGAACAAAUGCAACUCCUUUAGCGCCGAGAUUCUGCUGAAAUCCUGUAACCAGGUUUCACCCGCACCACUUAGAUUUACAUACCCCAUGUUGAGAUACUUCAGGGAAGAAGACAGACUUGAAAGCCACCGGAGAUUGCUUGCGCGCAAUGAUAAUGUACCAGAGUCACCAAACGACUCUGCAUACAGAUCAAGAGACUCCAGCUUCGACAAAUUUCCAAGACUCGUUGGGAUUUCGCCGGAAAACGAUGAGGAAGAAAGAUUCAGGUACCUUAGACUAACAAUUUGGCCAAUAAACUCAGGAAUCUCUAGUUCAUUGAAAUCAUUUGAACUCAAGUCCAGAUAGCUCAAGAACUUGAGUUGAGUCAAAGACGGAUGUAUCUUCCCUCGCAAGGAACCUCUUUUAUACUCAUCAGAGCGAACAUCUUGACUCGGGUUUCUGAGAUCAAUCUUGACAACGUGGCUGGUCCGAGCAUCGCAAAGAACACCGGGCCAGUUGCAGCAGUCAGGUCCGGACCAAGAAAAGAGCCUACUCGAAAGAUCAGUUAGUGCUGCUCUGAAGGUGAGAAGAGCUUGCCGCUCGGUGGAUAUGCAUUUCGGACUAGCUGCAGAUCCGUAAUUAAGAUUUUUGAGAAGUAAAAUGAGAAUCAGAAAAGAGAUGAAGAAGCUAGGCCUUAGCUUGAGGUCCAUACUUGAAGCUAUGUUUGUGUUGUUUCUUUUCUCAGACGUUUAGAUAUAUAUAUGUUCAAACGCGGACAUAUUAGACCAGCAUUGUAUGUAUAUACAUAUACAAAUUGAAUAUAUGUAUACAAAUAUACGUGUAUAUCUUUAACAAAUACGACACGGUUUAUAUCAAUGUAUAAAAUACGAAAAUGGAAACGUGUUAUUUUGG